This 1129-nucleotide ribosomal RNA is filed under the name Candidatus Moraniibacteriota bacterium. RNAcentral's name for it is "bacterial LSU rRNA". It matches the Rfam family "Bacterial large subunit ribosomal RNA", at positions 1 to 1115 of the family's 2925-position model. Lineage: Bacteria; Candidatus Moraniibacteriota. The record is from RNAcentral.
AAAGGUUACUUAAUGCAUAUGGUGGAUGCCUUGACUGAAGUAAGCGAUGAAGGACGCAGCAGGCUGCGAUAAUCCUCGGGGAGCUGUCAAGCAAGCUUUGAUCCGUGGGUUUCCGAAUGGGGCAACCCUACGUCUUCGGACGUAAUCACUGACUGAAUCAAUAGGUCAGCGAAGCAGACCCUGGGAAUUGAAACAUCUUAGUACCAGGAGGAAAAGAAAACAAUUGUGAUUCCGCAAGUAGUGGCGAGCGAACGCGGAAGAGUCUAAACCGUAUCCUUCGGGAUGCGGGGUUGCGAGGUAGUCAUACUCGUUUGAUCGGGGUAUGUCAUGUUCCCUUAGCAAAAUCCUUUGGAAAGAGGAACCAUAGCGGGUAAUAGUCCCGUAUGUGAAAAGCGAACAUGCCAGAUGAGACUAUCCUCAAGUAGGGCGGGACCGGUGAAAUCCCGUCUGAAUCUGGGAGCACUACACUUCCAAGACUAAAUAUUACUUCAGAUCGAUAGCGAACUAGUACCGUGAGGGAAAGGUGAAAAGCAUCCCGGUGAGGGAGGUGAAAUAGAACUGAAACCAUGUGCUAACGAAGAGUUGGAGCGGUCGCUUGCGACCGUGACAGCGUGCUUUUUGCAGAACGAGCCAACGAGUUAGUUUUAUACGGCUUGUCUAAGGGGUCAAACCCCCGGAGACGUAGUGAAAGCGAGCCUUAAUAGGGCGUUUGUCGUAUGGACUAGACCCGAAGCCGGACGAGCUACAUAUGAGCAGGUUGAACCUUGGGUAACACCAGGGGGAGGACCGAACCCACGAGCCGUGCAACACUCGGGGAUGACUUGUGUGUAGGGGAGAAAUUCCAAUCGAGCUCGGCAAUAGCUGGUUCUCUCCGAAAUAGCUUGAGGGCUAGCGUCAUGUAAUUACAUCCAAGAGGUAGAGCUACUGAAUGGAAACUCGCGGUUCGCCGUAGAUUUUCCAAUCAAACUCCGAAUUCUUGUGAUGCGUAUCAUGGCAGUCAGAAAUCCGGCGCUAAGGUCGGAUCUCAAAAGGGAAACAGCCCAGAUCAUCAUCUAAGGUCCCUAAAUCUAUGUUAAGUGGUAAAGGAAGUGAAGUUUCUUAUACAUCUAGGAGGUUGGCUUAGAAGCAG